GAGCAGUGACACUCCGGAUCAAUACCGCAUGAAUAAAAACCCCGCUCGCCCAUCUCCUCUUUCUUCCUCUCUCCCUCGUUCCCCUUUUCCUUCCCUCCUUUCUGCUUCCCUCUCUCGGCGCUUUCGGCUGGAAGAGUUGGUGGCGGGGUUUCUCUCGCUCUCUCCCCCCGCGCAAGGCCCCCCCCCCCGCUUCUGCUUUUGUUUUCCCCCUCUUUCUUUCUUCCUUCCUCUCUCUCUCUCUCUCUUUCUGGACGGGUCUUUGCUUUUCCUCUCCCCUUUUUUCCCCCCUUACCGUUUGCAGAGCGCAGGGCGAGCGGCGAUUUGAGGCGCCAUCCGUUCUCCGGGCCGGCGGAUCUUUGGAAGACCAAGGGGACCGGCAGCGGGAUGAACAUGUCGGGGACCUGUCACCAAAGAUGAAAUGUACCACACAGACCCCAAGUCUGUUGUUCCCCAAUACUAUAACAAAAGGGAAAAGGCGAUGGCCGUUUUGGAGAGGGUUUGAUCUUGCCCAAAGGCACUCUCUUUCUGGAGUGAAGCUGGGAAGGGGGUACAUGUGCACAUCAUUGCAGCCGUUCAUGGAAAAAGGAAGAUCUGUACGUGCUAAUAAUAAACCACCGUAGGAAAAAGGAGCCGAGUUUAAUCAUAAAUCCGCCCAUCCAAAGCAACAAGGCAGAAUCACCCGACAGGACUUGGGCCAUUUCCACGAAAGGCAUUUGAACCAGGUUUUUCUUGUUGUUUUUUUGUUUUGCAUUUCCAGCAUCUGCAAUUCAAAUGUAAAACCUGAACAGGCGAACUUGAACAUUAUGCUUUCCCAGUUUCAAACCUAUUUUAGUAACAUUAGAUGUUCUGAGUGGCAAUUGUGAAAAUGCCCCAUAGCUUCUGGGCCAAGUGAUGUCCUGCUCCCUGCCCAUUUCAGCCCAAGCAAAACAGAAGGACGACGUCACUCUUUAAAAGCGUACAGUGUGGAUGUGUCUUUUCCAGUCCACACCCUUUCUGCACCAGUAUCUACUAGGGAGAAGAAGGGGGGGGGGCUGUUUCAAUGUUGUUGCCUAUUAUAUUGUAAACUGUCCUAAAUCCUUGGGGACUGGAAGAGAUAGAAAUGAAAACCAUCCUAAAUAGGUAACCAAUGUAAAUGUCUGAUGUGAAAAGUAUGGAGGAAAGGGUAGACAGACUGGAAGAGAAGAACAUAUAUGUCAACAUGGGAAUACAGAAGUGGGUUUCUUUCCUCCACAUAAGCAGAGAUACAAAACCAGAAAAAAGCGAACGUGCAUGUAUGCUCACUUGAACUUAGGGCUAUAUUUUCUUCUUUGAUCUGCAGACCCUUUCCUUAUUCUAUAACACAAGCUACUUUUGGAACUCCACCCAGUUUUUUAAAUGGCUGGUGUUUGAGCACUCCAAAACCCACUUGUGUGAGAGGAACUAGCACACUUCUUUGAGUUUGGCCCUAAUUUCUCUCUAUCGGUAGAUUAUGCAGAUGUGGUGUGUGGUGUUGUUUUUUAAAAUAACCUAGCUUUCACAUUUUCCUUUGUACAUUCAAGCAGCAAUUCAGAAAUAACUGAGUGCAAGAAGGUGUUUCACACAAUUAGAACAUGCCGAUAAUAACCACACUCCAAGGCCCCCAAUAGUGGAAGGGAAUUGCACAUUUCUGACUGCGUCACACAAGAUGGAUGGAAAGGCAUAUCCUCCUCCACAUAAUGUUGUACUGAUGUGGACCACAUUGAUAGAAUAUACACCUGCAUCCAAUUAGAACUGACACCUUGGGCAUUGCACGCAGGAUUCCCAAUUCAAUUCUGGGAACUGAAUGUGCAACUUUAGUUGCUACAUGGAUCUCUUGGCUGCCAUCCAGCCAAGGGACCCAAGCAUGCAACAGCUUUGUAGCACACAUGAAUCCUGAUUCAGCACAGGAAUUGAUAUAUGGAAGCCACCUACUGUUCAUGGGUAUCUCUUGGUGGACUGGAUAUAUACCGUAUCACAUCCUUCUACGCUGAAUUAAUUAAUCACAAAUAAAGAGCACCCCUGGCUGGUUCUGUGCUCCCAAAUCAAUUCAGGUGGAUAAGAAUCACCAAUAAUCAUACAUAUGCACAGCCUUUGAGUCAUCUGGGGCUUGCAUACAAAUACGUGAUUGAAAAAGAGUUAAAAGAGAAGCCAAUCUGUGUUAGAUAUUCUUGUGAAAGCACCUUACUGUUCCUGCAAAGUACAGGAUCUGUCACUUUGCAGUUCUGCAUGGUGGUAAAGCUUUUGCAUGUGUUAAGGUACUUCUUUUCUUCAUUUAGAACUAAAAACAUGUAUAAUUUCUUCUCCCCACAUACACCAUUCCAUGUUUGUUUACCUUUUAAACAUCCAACAGAAAAGCGGUACAUUUUUAGUCCUUCUUCCGCUACAAUCUCACAUCCACAUUUCAGCCUGGGCCUACAAUCAAAGCACUAUGAAGAUUUGAAGGACUAGAAUGAGACUUGUAAACUCAGUCCAACAUAAAUGAGGAUUAGGGAGAAAUUUCAGAAAGAGGUUCUAACAAGACAGUUAAUGGACUGUCUGACCAAUUACUGAGAAAUCUGGAAUUAAUACUCUCGCCCCAAUUGUUCAUUCCAAAUCUUAUUAAAAUCUUAUCAGGUCCUCUUCUUUAAAAAAAAAAUUCAUUUGCUAAUUUGGCAGCAAUAGUGGGGAAAAUCUGGGAAGAGGUUGAAGAGGGAGUGGUAUUUAAAAACAAAACAAAGCAGGAACAAUUUAAUCAGAAAUGGCUCUUCUCCAGAAAGUAAAAUGAAAUUUAAAAAGGAAAUCAAAGGAAGAAAGAAAGAGGAAUGUAAGAUGGGAUUUCUUUGUUGCUGCCAAACACUCGCUGGGGUGUUGUCAGUGAACAUAGAUUUGUUGCAAGUUGGGGAGGGCACCAUCCAUUAGCUUCCCCCACCUUUAUCUUCUUUUAGGGAGAGGGUGAUACCUAGAAAGCCCUUUACCCCCAAUUUCCCUGCCUACAGAAGGGAAUGUAGCAAAGUGCAGAUUUCUGGCAAAAAGAGUACUGCAAGAAGAGAACAUCAAAUAUGCACAAAAGGGUUUUCUGAUAUGGAAAAUAAAAUAUUUGUGGUAAACCUU
Molecule: long non-coding RNA, 3087 nt
Organism: Hemicordylus capensis (graceful crag lizard)
Lineage: Eukaryota; Metazoa; Chordata; Lepidosauria; Squamata; Cordylidae
Exons: 2
Source: RefSeq, a predicted model, not a curated record